GGCACCAUGAGAGCCUAACUGUCUCUUAUAACAAAUCAAUUAAACUGAUCCCCUAGUACAAAAGCUAGAAUUACACCAUAAGACCAGAAGACCCUGUGAAGCUUUAAUUAAACUAUUAAACCCCGUAAUAGCUAAUUUUGGUUGGGGCGACCUUGGAAAAAAGAAGAACUUCCAAACAAGCACCUCUCCUGCACCAAAGGCUAACAAGCCUCAAAUAGACCCAGCACAGCUGAUUGAUGAACCAAGUUACUCCAGGGAUAACAGCGCUAUCUUCUUCAAGAGCCCAUAUCAAAAAGAAGGUUUACGACCUCGAUGUUGGAUCAGGACAUCCUAGUAAUGCAACAGUUACUAAAGGUUCGUUUGUUCAACGAUUAAUAGUCCU
Molecule: ribosomal RNA, 382 nt
Filed under: Echis ocellatus
Lineage: Eukaryota; Metazoa; Chordata; Lepidosauria; Squamata; Viperidae
Description: partial 16S ribosomal RNA
Rfam family: Bacterial large subunit ribosomal RNA
Source: RNAcentral